RNAcentral lists this non-coding RNA (86 nucleotides) under Pseudomonas arsenicoxydans. Lineage: Bacteria; Pseudomonadati; Pseudomonadota; Gammaproteobacteria; Pseudomonadales; Pseudomonadaceae. The record is from RNAcentral.
UUUGACGGCAGCUUUGCGCGGGAGGCCUUCGGGCCUGCCGGGUUCCUUGGUUCCCCGGUCCUGCAGCCCCGCGCAAGCACGCGUUG